This 475-nucleotide ribosomal RNA is filed under the name uncultured bacterium. RNAcentral describes it as "bacterial SSU rRNA". It matches the Rfam family "Bacterial small subunit ribosomal RNA", at positions 29 to 524 of the family's 1533-position model. The record is from RNAcentral.
AACGAACGCUGGCGGCAUGCCUAACACAUGCAAGUCGAACGAAGUCUUCGGACUUAGUGGCGCACGGGUGCGUAACGCGUGGGAAUCUGCCCUUGGGUACGGAAUAACUCAGAGAAAUUUGUGCUAAUACCGUAUAAUGACUUCGGUCCAAAGAUUUAUCGCCCAAGGAUGAGCCCGCGUGAGAUUAGCUAGUUGGUGAGGUAAAAGCUCACCAAGGCGACGAUCUCUAGCUGGUCUGAGAGGAUGAUCAGCCACACUGGGACUGAGACACGGCCCAGACUCCUACGGGAGGCAGCAGUGGGGAAUAUUGGACAAUGGGCGAAAGCCUGAUCCAGCAAUGCCGCGUGAGUGAUGAAGGCCUUAGGGUUGUAAAGCUCUUUUGUCAGGGAAGAAACGGUGAGUUCUAAUACAGCUUGCUAAUGACGGUACCUGAAGAAUAAGCACCGGCUAACUACGUGCCAGCAGCCGCGGUAAU